Molecule: unclassified non-coding RNA, 315 nt
Filed under: air metagenome
Description: partial contains small subunit ribosomal RNA, internal transcribed spacer 1, and 5.8S ribosomal RNA
Rfam family: Eukaryotic small subunit ribosomal RNA (bases 1-46)
Source: RNAcentral
AAGUCGUAACAAGGUUUCCGUAGGUGAACCUGCGGAAGGAUCAUUAUUGAAUUCAAAUGCUGACGCUGAGCUAUCUCGUUAAGAGCAUGUGCCCGCCGACGCAUAUAUUCAACCACCUGUGAACCUCUUGUAGAUCUGAGAAUACUUCUCAAGGAAACUUGGACGUAGGGUUUGUUGGCUUCAACAGAGGUCGACUGCUCUUGCUUCUCAGAUCUAUGUUUUUCAUAUACCCCUUAAUAUGUUAUAGAAUGUAUUGAAUGGCUUGUAUGAGCCUUUAACCUAAUACAACUUUCAACAACGGAUCUCUUGGCUCUC